This is a small nucleolar RNA of Stomoxys calcitrans (stable fly), 185 nucleotides long. RefSeq annotates it as small nucleolar RNA snR190. The transcript has a single exon. NCBI's taxonomy places the organism in Eukaryota, Metazoa, Arthropoda, Insecta, Diptera, Muscidae. The record is from RefSeq and is a predicted model, not a curated record.
GGCGCUUAAGGAAGGGUACUGUUAUUACCCUUUCCCUUGGGAAAGAUAACUUUUUUUACCCUUUCCCUUAAGGAAGGGUACUUUUUUACCCUUUCCCUUAGGGAAGGGUACUUUUAUUACCCUUUUCCUUUGAGGAAGGGUACUUUUAUUGCUUUUUUCCUUGGGAAAGGGUUAUUUUAUUACCC